RNAcentral lists this ribosomal RNA (253 nucleotides) under uncultured bacterium. RNAcentral's name for it is "partial 16S ribosomal RNA". It matches the Rfam family "Bacterial small subunit ribosomal RNA", at positions 524 to 776 of the family's 1533-position model. The record is from RNAcentral.
UACGUAGGGGGCCAGCGUUGUCCGGAUUUAUUGGGCGUAAAGAGCGUGUAGGCGGCCAGGUAGGUCAGCUGUGAAAACUCGAGGCUCAACCUCGAGACGUCGGUUGAAACCACCUGGCUAGAGUCCGGAAGAGGAGAGUGGAAUUCCUGGUGUAGCGGUGAAAUGCGCAGAUAUCAGGAAGAACACCCGUGGCGAAGGCGGCUCUCUGGGACGGUACUGACGCUGAGACGCGAAAGCGUGGGGAGCGAACAGG